ACACACCGUCUGGGAAUCCAACCUUACUACCACUUCGUUUUCCUGCCUCACGUCAUUAAACUUGCAUUCCAAAUAUUCUGUCUUGCUCCUGCUCAACCUGAACCCUUUAGACUCAAGAGUUCGUCUCUACACUUCUAAUUUAUCAUUCACCCCCAGCGUCUUAUCAAUCAAAACUACAUCAUCUGCAAAAAGCAUACACCAAGGCACCUCUCCUUGAAUACGCCGCGUCAACACAUCCAUCACCAAAACAAACAAAAACGGGCUAAGAGUGGAACCCU
RNAcentral lists this long non-coding RNA (278 nucleotides) under Capsicum annuum. Its description in RNAcentral is "long non-coding RNA (CANN_LNC003001)". Lineage: Eukaryota; Viridiplantae; Streptophyta; Magnoliopsida; Solanales; Solanaceae. The record is from RNAcentral.